This 957-nucleotide ribosomal RNA is filed under the name Triticum aestivum (bread wheat). RNAcentral describes it as "partial small subunit ribosomal RNA". Lineage: Eukaryota; Viridiplantae; Streptophyta; Magnoliopsida; Poales; Poaceae. The record is from RNAcentral.
AUGAUGGUAUACUUGUCAUAUAUUCAGCCUAAACUCACUGUACACAUUGAUCCAACAUGGAUCGGCUACCAAAAUGGCGGAGACAAGGCUCUAACAAUCGAGGCAUUCAGUGAAAGUGAAAGGUGUUUGGGGCUUCCGACAGCCGUGGGCCGUAUUACUAGUGGAACUUUUGCUCACAUUGGAGAUGGAGCUCGCGGGAAGAUGCAAGGCUGGUCUGAAAGGUUGCUGGCAUGUGCUGAGAAAGAUGCACUGAUUAAAUCUGUAGUACAUGCACUUCCUACAUAUAGCAUGACCACUUUUUUGUUGAACAAAAAAGCAUGCAAAAGCAUCACUUCACCAAUGGCAAAAAAAUUCUGGAGUAGUUCGUUGGACAAGAAAUCUAUGCAUUGGGUUGCUUGGGAUAAACUUGCGACGCCGAAGUGCAAAGGGGGCAUGGGAUACCGAGACAUGCACCUGUUUAACUUGGCUCUAUUGGGGAAACACGGUUGGCGAUUUUUGACCACGCCGGACUCCCUAUGUGCGCAAGUUUUGAAGGGCAGGUACUUCCUGGACGUGGACUUCAUGCAGGCAGUUCUUCCAAAGAAUGCGUCAACUACACGGCGAGCGAUCAUCGCCGGAAGGGAAGCACUACGGGUUGGACUGAUAAAACGAGCUGGUGAUGGAACAUCAAUUUCGGUAUGGGAUGACAUGUGGAUCUGGGGAACUACAUCCAUGAAACCAAUGCUGAGACCAGAGAACACCAUGAUUGAAAAGGUGUCCGAGCUCAUUGACCAAGAGAACUGGACAUGGAAUCAGCAAGUGCUUGGGUUUAAAUCGGCGUACCGUACUCUCGUGAAUCACAAAGAGCGUUUGGCUCUAGAUGAAGGGACGGCUACCGGCACCUCAGUGAGCGAUCAACAGAUGUGGUUUGCACUAUGGAAGCUGAACGUCGUGCCCAAGAUGAGAGUGUUCUGGUGA